UGGGCGCCGUCAUCAAAACACCAGCCACCCAUUCCUCCCCACGCCGCCAGCCCAUGGCCGCCGCUGCCGCUUCUGCCCUCGUUCCCCGUCUGGCCCAGACUAGGGCUUCCCUCCGCGUCUCUUCUUCUCCCUCUUCCUCCCUGAAGCCCCGGGCGUCCCUCUCCUCCGCCGGCCCCGCCGGACCGUUGAAACUGUUCUUCCCUCCUCCCCCACCGCCUCCCGCAAUUUCGAUCUCCAGGAUAUCCGCGGGAGUUUCUUCUUCUUCUUCUUCCCCUGAGGUAAAGUAUGAGCUUCACUUCCUUCGAUUCCUCCGCCCCCGCAAACCCGGAUCUCUCUCACUGCCUCCCACAGAUGGAGGGCUCGGGCGCAGAGAUCACGGAAGAGGUGGAGAAGGCCCCGGCGGAGGAAGGAGGCGGCGCCCCCCGGGGGUACAAGAAGGUCUUCGUCGCCGGCGCCACUGGGAGAACGGGGCGGCGCGUGGUCGACCAGCUCCUGGCCA
RNAcentral lists this long non-coding RNA (499 nucleotides) under Spirodela polyrhiza (greater duckweed). RNAcentral's name for it is "long non-coding RNA (SPOL_LNC002613)". The record is from RNAcentral. Lineage: Eukaryota; Viridiplantae; Streptophyta; Magnoliopsida; Alismatales; Araceae.